UACAUUCACGUGCAAAAUGACCUUUUU
This 27-nucleotide non-coding RNA is filed under the name Bombyx mori (domestic silkworm). The record is from RNAcentral. Lineage: Eukaryota; Metazoa; Arthropoda; Insecta; Lepidoptera; Bombycidae.